This 878-nucleotide ribosomal RNA is filed under the name Acutocoxae weddellensis. RNAcentral's name for it is "SSU rRNA". It matches the Rfam family "Eukaryotic small subunit ribosomal RNA", at positions 1033 to 1760 of the family's 1831-position model. The record is from RNAcentral. Lineage: Eukaryota; Metazoa; Arthropoda; Malacostraca; Amphipoda; Podosiridae.
UAAACGAUGCCAACCAUCAAUCCGCGCGUAGUACCCUUCUUAACGGACUCGGCGGGCAGCUCCCCAUUCACGGGAAACCAGAGUCUCUGGGUUCCGGGGGGAGUCUGGUUGCAAAGCUGAAACUUAAAGGAAUUGACGGAAAGGCACCACCAGGCGUGGAGCCUGCGGCUUAAUUUGACUCAACACGGGCCACCUCACCAGGCCAGCACUCUUGUACGAUUGACAGAUUGAGAGCUCUUUCUCGAUUCAGUGGAUGGUGGUGCAUGGCCGUUCUUAGUUGGUGGAGUGAUCUGUCUGGUUAAUUCCGAUAACGAACGAGACUCUCCCCUACUAACUAGUCGGUUGGAUCUUGCUCGGUGAGUUGUGUGCCGAGUAAACUCGGAGUGCUUGAUGGUGUGCGUUGGUCGGUGCGCAACUUUGUUGUGCCCUUCCUCGUGCACUCCUGCCUUCGAGCCUCGGGUCACACACUCCAAGUCCGCCGCUUAUGCUUAUGACUCUUCUUAGAGGGAUUCACGGUACUGAAGCCGUAAGAGACUGAGAGCAAUAACAGGUCUGUGAUGCCCUUAGAUGCUCUGGGCCGCACGCGCGCUACAAUGCCGGGCGCAACAGGUAGUUUUCCUAUUCCGCCAGGAACGGGUAACCUUUUGAAAGCCCUUGCUUUAUCGUGUCUGACACGAAUGGCGUGCUUGGGCCUGGGGCUUGCAAUUCUUUCCCACAAACGAGGAAUGCCUAGUAGCGGCGGGUCACUGAGCCCGCCGUGAUUCAGUCCCUGCCCUUUGUACACACCGCCCGUCGCUACUACCGAUUGGGUGUACCAGUGAGAGCCUUGGACUGGCGUCCGUUGCCUUCGGGCAAACGGUUUCGACGGAAAGAGGUCC